RNAcentral lists this ribosomal RNA (507 nucleotides) under Mycoplasmoides gallisepticum. RNAcentral's name for it is "Mycoplasma gallisepticum partial 28S ribosomal RNA". It matches the Rfam family "Bacterial large subunit ribosomal RNA", at positions 800 to 1300 of the family's 2925-position model. Lineage: Bacteria; Bacillati; Mycoplasmatota; Mycoplasmoidales; Mycoplasmoidaceae. The record is from RNAcentral.
GCGGAUGACCUGUGACUAGGGGUGAAAUUCCAAUCGAAAUCCGUGAUAGCUGGUUCUCGUCGAAAUAGUUUUAAGACUAGCGUAAGAUCAUGAUCAACUGGAGGUAGAGCUACUGAAUGUAUGAUGGCGCCGCCUUGGUGUACUGAAUACAAUUAAACUCCGAAUGCCAAUUGAUUUAUUCUUGCAGUCAGACAGUGGGGGAUAAGCUUCAUUGUCACAAGGGGAAGAGCCCAGAUCAUUAAAUAAGGUCCCUAAAAUAUGCUAAGUGGAAAAGGUUGUUAAAAUACUUAAACAGCAAGGAUGUUGGCUUAGAAGCAGCCAUCGUUUAAAGAGUGCGUAACAGCUCACUUGUCGAGUGUUUUUGCGCCGAAGAUGUAACGGGGCUAAGCAUAUUACCGAAUUUAUGGAUUAUCAUUCGUAAGAAUGAUAGUGGUAGACGAGCGUUGUAUAUGGGAUGAAGUCAAACCGUGAGGAUUGGUGGACUGUAUACAAGUGAGAAUGCCGGUG